CGUACGUGCUGUCGGGAUCGCCGCGCUGAUAAACCGCAUGCAUUUCGUCUGACUCAUCGAUAAUCGUCCUUUCGGAUCUCCCGCUUCACGCGUUCUACUACGCGAAAAGCAAGGUUAAAUGCCAAGGGUGCGACGGUGUCCACCUACGAAGUUUCUCCGAUGAAAAAUUGAGAGUGCUGAAGAUUUACUGAUAGAAACAUGCCCGGACGAUCGCCGGCAAGGGCAUACGAGCGGCCCAUUACAAGCGAAGAUUGCGGGUUUGCCACCACUUGAAUAUCAUCACGGGAGAACAAAUGACCAGGGCGCAGAAUGGGCGAAUCUUGGCUUUCGGUCCUACUCGCUAGCACGUUGACAACCAUGAUAAUGAUGGCGGUGACGAAGGCCAAUUCAUUCUCGACGCCGUCUCUGUCGACGAUUGUUCGUGACGAUAUCGUGGAUUCCAAACGGGUUUGUC
Long non-coding RNA from Trachymyrmex cornetzi, 454 nucleotides. RefSeq lists it as uncharacterized. The record is from RefSeq and is a predicted model, not a curated record. The transcript is spliced from 3 exons. NCBI's taxonomy places the organism in Eukaryota, Metazoa, Arthropoda, Insecta, Hymenoptera, Formicidae.